RNAcentral lists this ribosomal RNA (495 nucleotides) under uncultured bacterium. Its description in RNAcentral is "partial 16S ribosomal RNA". It matches the Rfam family "Bacterial small subunit ribosomal RNA", at positions 28 to 507 of the family's 1533-position model. The record is from RNAcentral.
GACGAACGCUGGCGGCGUGCCUAAUACAUGCAAGUAGAACGCUGAAGGAGGAGCUUGCUUCUCUGGAUGAGUUGCGAACGGGUGAGUAACGCGUAGGUAACCUGCCUGGUAGCGGGGGAUAACUAUUGGAAACGAUAGCUAAUACCGCAUAAGAGUAGAUGUUGCAUGACAUUUGCUUAAAAGGUGCAAUUGCAUCACUACCAGAUGGACCUGCGUUGUAUUAGCUAGAUGGUGGGGUAACGGCUUACCAAGGCGACGAUACAUAGCCGACCUGGGAGGGUGAUCGGCCACACUGGGACCGAGACACGGCCCAGACUCCUACGGGAGGCAGCAGUAGGGGAUCUUCGGCAAUAGACGGAAGUCUGACCGAGCAACGCCGCGGGAGUGAAGGAGGUUUUCGGAUCGUAAAGCUCUGUUGUAAGAGAAGAACGAGUGUGAGAGUGGAAAGUUCACACUGUGACGGUAUCUUACCAGAAAGGGACGGCUAACUACGUG